UCGGGCACAACAGAGACUCGGCACACCUGGACCCCCAGGGAGCGCAGCGUCCGGCACAGAAAGUCCUUGGCACCUUUCACCUGGACAGUGGCAACAGACCCCUGGCCAGGCUCCCGGCAUCCAGCCACAGCGCCCUGCCCCAUGCCUCCCGAAUAACCUUCCUAACGUGUCACUGUGAUUGCAUCACUCUUGGCUCAAAAGCCAUUUGUUGUUUCCAACCCUGUACAGAAUAAAGUUCAAAUACCUCUGCAGAAUA
This is a long non-coding RNA of Phacochoerus africanus (Common warthog), 256 nucleotides long. RefSeq lists it as uncharacterized. Lineage: Eukaryota; Metazoa; Chordata; Mammalia; Artiodactyla; Suidae. The record is from RefSeq and is a predicted model, not a curated record. The transcript is spliced from 2 exons.